GGGGCUAGAGGGGAAAGUCACUCCGCAGCAGUGGAAGAAGAAGUGGGAAAAUCUGAAAAAAAAGAUACAAGUUUUGGUGGAGUGUCGAGCAGAGAGAAGGAGGCACCAGACGCAGGAUUCUGGAUUGUGGUUGAGACCAUGACUGUGUUUUAUUUCACAGUAACACUCAGUAACAUUUCUGCUGCUGGCAUCACAUGCUCAACCAUACAGGGAGAUGAUGAAGAAGGCCAACAAUUUAUUCCCAGGAAGGAUGACAACCGCGGCGGGGCCCCUCAGAUGAGGCCAUGAGGAUUAAAAAAAAAUCCUUCGCUUCAGGACAAGUGUCCCCCUCAGAGACGUGACCUCGUGAGGACUAACGCUCUCACUGCGGUCCUUCAGCGGGGGGGUGAUGUGUCGGACCAACAGGAGGUGAUGGGGGAGUACGUGCUGCAGUUCGAAAAGUACAAGGGGAAACCAUACAGGUGGCUCCUAGAAAAUGAUGUCAGCUACACCAUCUACCUGAUAAAUAAGGUAGAAGAGGAUGAGAGAGAUGGGACCUUCAACCCCCAAGGGAACAGCAAGGACAGCCUGCUGUCAUUGUUGGACUAUGCGAGGAGAUAUUCUCCAGGACGCCUGCGCCACCAGUGUCGUCAGAGGGGGACAAUACAGUUGGCUUUGGAGCCGAGGACGCCUGGAGGCAGAUCAGGAGAGCAGGGGGGACGGUUACGCUGCCUUCAUUGUAGGAGUGAAAUGUGUGAAAAACAGCGAGAUGUACAACCUCCAGCAACAGAGGGCUGAGUCCUGUGCACUGGCUACAUCGGCUGCUUCCACACAAACAUCUCGACCUCUGGGUCGGUCAGAGCUACAGAGCUGCAUGUCUUCCACCUUCACCAAGCCCAGUGGGUGACAGGCAACCGAGUGUCCUGUGAACUUUUCCAGGUCCAGGCCUUGAAUGAAGCACAGCGCUUGAACUUCCAGAGGCUGGUAGAGCUGAAGCUGCCUGGGUGUGGAGCCGUCAGCUGUGUUUGACCCCUUGUUGACUGCAGAACUGAACUAGAGCUGGGCAAUAAGACGAUCUCGAAACAGGAUCGCAAUAAAAUUUAUGUUGACGAUGAUAAACUAUAGUCAUUUUUACUGGAUACGGACAGACCUUGAUAGAUCCAGACAGCGUGUCAUGCAGCAGAAGUUAACAGACAGCUGUCAGUCAGUGUUGGGGAUGUGUGUCACUGUACACGCCCAUUUUUUUUUACUGCAAAGUUUGUGCCGAGGUGAGGAGGAACAGGAAGCAGCGUGGACAUGACAAUAAGAGAGGAAAAUGAGGGGAAGUGAAGCUGAAGAAGAGCUUGCAUUGUCCUCAAAAACUGAUAAAACUGUGGAUAAAAAAAGUCACACAACUUAAAUAAUGGAAAAUCAAUUGGUUUCUUCCGGUGUCAGACAUCAUCAGGAUACUUUUCAAACCUGCAGCAUCAUCAAAUUAUAUAUCGUGAUAAAUAUAGAUAUCGAUCAAUACGUGGACAAUUAUUGUGAUAAUAUUUUUUGCCAUAUCGCCCAGCCCUAAACUGAACUCAGCCUCUGUUAAAGUGACGAAAAAGGCAAAAUAUCCCAGCCUGCAGAUAUCUGACAGGGGCACAGGGAGAGAUUUGGACGCAGUACAUGGAGCCACGCUGUCGUCCUGUUCUUUCAAACUGGAAUAAGGCACAGCACUACAUCCCAGCUGCUGUAGCCAUGGAGACAGAGCAUCACUGCCCUGCUGCUGUGGUGGGCACAGACUCUCAGGUAUCCAGACUGUGAUGACUGUGGUCGUAUUUGUGAUGCAGCUGUGGGUGUGUGUCUGGUGCGCCAGGUGUCUGUGUAUGUCUGUGUGCGAACAGGUGUCCUCUAGGUUGAGGCGGCCAUUGGUGGAACCGCUACUGGCUCUAGGUGAGUGGCUGAUGGACAGUACAUAAAGAGCCAAGAUGGUGGAAGCUGGAGGUAGAUGAAACGGCAUCCAGAGUGAAGUGACUAAAACUGUAACAUAAACUGGUGGAUCCAAAAGUAUUCUUUCCUCUGAUAUGUAGUGGAGUAGAUUUAUCAAGUGGUAAAAAAGGAAAGACUCAAGGAAAGUACCUCAAAUGUGUACUUAGGUACAGAACAUGAAUGAAUGUACUGUGACUUUCCACCACUGCACAUGCCAACACAUCUCCAGAUAUGUGAAGUCAAACAACAGCAACUCAGAGAAGGUUUCGGAGACACAGCAGCUGUUUGACCGCAGGUGUGUGUGUGGUUGUAGCACUGCAUGACAUCAUCCAACAUUUUGUCAUUUUUUUUCAAAGUCAUAAAGCUUCAGCAUCACAGUGUUUGUCAGCACACACAGAUCUACACAUUCCAUCCUCGGGGAGCACAACUGUGCCUUCUGGAUACUUAACACCAUGGUGAUGUGACUCCCAGUCCCUCCAUAGGAAACCCAGAGACUUCUUUCGUCCUUCAGAGAAGCUGCAGACGUCCUCUGCUGUCACUACAUCAC
Long non-coding RNA from Epinephelus moara (kelp grouper), 2482 nucleotides. RefSeq lists it as uncharacterized. The record is from RefSeq and is a predicted model, not a curated record. The transcript is spliced from 3 exons. NCBI's taxonomy places the organism in Eukaryota, Metazoa, Chordata, Actinopteri, Perciformes, Serranidae.